RNAcentral lists this transfer RNA (75 nucleotides) under Cordylochernes scorpioides. Its description in RNAcentral is "tRNA-Ile". Lineage: Eukaryota; Metazoa; Arthropoda; Arachnida; Pseudoscorpiones; Chernetidae. The record is from RNAcentral.
UGUCCAGGAAUGGGAAUCGAACCCACAGUGUUCCGCGUAUCGGGCAGAUGCAAUAUCCACUAGGCUACCCUGUAC